This 692-nucleotide ribosomal RNA is filed under the name Vittia pachyloma. Its description in RNAcentral is "eukaryotic LSU rRNA". It matches the Rfam family "Eukaryotic large subunit ribosomal RNA", at positions 75 to 762 of the family's 3401-position model. Lineage: Eukaryota; Viridiplantae; Streptophyta; Bryopsida; Hypnales; Amblystegiaceae. The record is from RNAcentral.
UUUCCCUAGUUAACGGCGAGCGAACCGGAAAGAGCCCAGCUUGAAAAUCGUGGUGCCUCGCAUCUCGAAUUGUAGUCUGGAGAAGGUCCCUCUGCGACGCGCCGGACCCAAGUUCCCUGGAAAGGGACGUCAUCGAGGGUGACAACCCCGUCCGCGCCCGGAACGCGUCGCUCCACGAGGACCUGUCUGCGAGUCGGGCUGUUUGGGAAUGCAGCCCUAAGCGGGAGGUAAAUUCCUUCCAAGGCUAAAUAUGGGCAAGAGACCGAUAGCGAACAAGUACCGCGAGGGAAAGAUGAAAAGGACUUUGAAAAGAGAGUUAAAAAGUGCUUGAAAUUGCUGGGAGGGAAGCGAAUGGAAGCUGCGGGUGCGCCCCGGUUGGAUGUGGAACGGCUUCGGCUGGUCCGCCGCUCAACGCGGGGCGCUGGUCAGCGUGGGCCACGGCGCCGGGACAAGAGCGGGGAUUCGCUUCCCGCCUAUGCCGGUGCGGUGGCCGAGGCACGAAGCGCGCGCCGCAAGGCGUGGGUUCGCCCAACUGCGCGCUCGGGACGCUGGCGUAUUGAGCUCUUCAUCCGACCCGUCUUGAAACACGGACCAAGGAGUCUAACAUGUAUGCGAGCCGGUGGGCGGCAAACCCAUUGAGGCGCAAGUAAACUGACAGGUGGGACCCCGACCGUGAGGGAGGGAGCACCAUC